RNAcentral lists this ribosomal RNA (491 nucleotides) under uncultured bacterium. RNAcentral describes it as "partial 16S ribosomal RNA". It matches the Rfam family "Bacterial small subunit ribosomal RNA", at positions 28 to 506 of the family's 1533-position model. The record is from RNAcentral.
GGUGAACGCUGGCGGUAGGCCUAACACAUGCAAGUCGAACGGCAGCACAGUAAGAGCUUGCUCUUACGGGUGGCGAGUGGCGGACGGGUGAGGAAUACAUCGGAAUCUACUUUUUCGUGGGGGAUAACGUAGGGAAACUUACGCUAAUACCGCAUACGACCUACGGGUGAAAGCAGGGGAUCUUCGGACCUUGCGCGAUUGAAUGAGCCGAUGUCGGAUUAGCUAGUUGGCGGGGUAAAGGCCCACCAAGGCGACGAUCCGUAGCUGGUCUGAGAGGAUGAUCAGCCACACUGGAGCUGAGACACGGUCCAGACUCCUACGGGAGGCAGCAGUGGGGAAUAUUGGACAAUGGGCGCAAGCCUGAUCCAGCCAUACCGCGUGGGUGAAGAAGGCCUUCGGGUUGUAAAGCCCUUUUGUUGGGAAAGAAAAGCAGCAGGUUAAUACCCCGCUGUUCGGACGGUACCCAAAGAAUAAGCACCGGCUAACUUCGU